UACGUAGGGUGCAAGCGUUGUCCGGAAUUAUUGGGCGUAAAGAGCGUGUAGGCGGCCCGACCAGUCCGCUGUGAAAGUCCAGGGCUCAACCCUGGAAUGCCGGUGGAUACUGUCGGGCUAGGGUCCGGAAUGGGCGAGUGGAAUUCCUGGUGUAGCGGUGAAAUGCGCAGAUAUCAGGAGGAACACCAAUGGCGAAGGCAGCUCGCUGGGACGUGACUGACGCUGAGACGCGAAAGCGUGGGGAGCAAACAGG
This 253-nucleotide ribosomal RNA is filed under the name uncultured bacterium. RNAcentral's name for it is "partial 16S ribosomal RNA". It matches the Rfam family "Bacterial small subunit ribosomal RNA", at positions 524 to 776 of the family's 1533-position model. The record is from RNAcentral.